CCUACGGGCGGCAGCAGUGAGGAAUAUUGGUCAAUGGCCGUAAGGCUGAACCAGCCAAGUCGCGUGAAGGAAGACGGAUCUAUGGUUUGUAAACUUCUUUUAUAGGGGAAUAAAGGUAUCCACGUGUGGAUAUUUGCAUGUACUUUAUGAAUAAGCAUCGGCUAACUCCGUUCCAGCAGCCGCGGUAAUACGGAGGAUGCGAGCGUUAUCCGGAUUUAUUGGGUUUAAAGGGUGCGUAGAUUGUUUUUUAAGUCAGCUGUGAAAGUUUGUGGCUCAACCCUAAAAUUGCCAUUGAUACUGGCAGUCUUGAGUAUGGUUGAGGUAGGCGGAAUGCGUGGUGUAGCGGUGAAAUGCAUAGAUAUCACGCAGAACCCCGAUUGCGAAGGCAGCUUACUAAGCCAUGACUGACACUGAAGCACGAAAGCGUGGGGAUCAAACAGGAUUAGAUACCCUAGUAGUC
RNAcentral lists this ribosomal RNA (460 nucleotides) under uncultured bacterium. Its description in RNAcentral is "partial 16S ribosomal RNA". It matches the Rfam family "Bacterial small subunit ribosomal RNA", at positions 338 to 795 of the family's 1533-position model. The record is from RNAcentral.